GCACGCCGCGGUGAAUACGUUCCCGGGCCUUGUACACACCGCCCGUCACACCACGAGAGUUUGUAACACCCGAAGUCGGUGAGGUAACCGUAAGGAGCCAGCCGCCUAAGGUGGGAUAGAUGAUUGGGGUGAAGUCGUAACAAGGUAGCCGUAUCGGAAGGUGCGGCUGGAUCACCUCCUUUCUAAGGA
Molecule: ribosomal RNA, 189 nt
Filed under: Klebsiella pneumoniae
Lineage: Bacteria; Pseudomonadati; Pseudomonadota; Gammaproteobacteria; Enterobacterales; Enterobacteriaceae
Description: partial 16S ribosomal RNA
Rfam family: Bacterial small subunit ribosomal RNA
Source: RNAcentral